This 328-nucleotide ribosomal RNA is filed under the name Cardinium endosymbiont of Leiobunum vittatum. RNAcentral describes it as "bacterial SSU rRNA". It matches the Rfam family "Bacterial small subunit ribosomal RNA", at positions 269 to 595 of the family's 1533-position model. Lineage: Bacteria; Pseudomonadati; Bacteroidota; Cytophagia; Cytophagales; Amoebophilaceae. The record is from RNAcentral.
CAAGGCUACGAUGGGUAGGGGCUCUUAGUGGUAGGUCCCCCACACUGGCACUGAGAUACGGGCCAGACUCAUACGGGAGGCAGCAGUAGCGAAUAUUGGUCUAUGGGCGCAAGUCUGAACCAGCCAUGCCGCGUGCAGGAUGAAGGCUCUCUGAGUUGUAAACUGCUUUGUACAGGAGCAAAAGAAACCUCUUGGGGUUUCUCGAGAGUACUGUAAGAAUAAGCACCGGCUAAUUCCGUGUCAGCAGCCGCGGUAAUACGGAAGGUGCAAGCCUGAUCCGGUUUAAUUAGGUUAAAAGGGUGCGUAGGCGGCUUAUUAAGUCAGUUGU